This 447-nucleotide ribosomal RNA is filed under the name Goniobranchus tasmaniensis. RNAcentral's name for it is "partial 16S ribosomal RNA". It matches the Rfam family "Archaeal large subunit ribosomal RNA", at positions 1909 to 2665 of the family's 2987-position model. Lineage: Eukaryota; Metazoa; Mollusca; Gastropoda; Nudibranchia; Chromodorididae. The record is from RNAcentral.
AGCUUUAGGGAAAGAUCUAAGGUUAUACCUGCCCAAUGUACAAGAUUAUUAAUGGCCGCGGUACUUUGACCGUGCUAAGGUAGCGCAAUAAAUUGGCUUUUAAAUGGAGUCAGGAAUGAAUGGAGUUACGUGGUUUAGCUGUCUCUUAUCUAAUUAAUUGAAGUUACUAUAUAGGUGAAAAAGCCUAUUUUAAGAAAAAGGACGAGAAGACCCUUAGAGUUUUACUUAAUGUGAAAUAUUUAGUUAUUUUCAUACUGGUUUUGUUGGGGCAACAUAGGAACAAUUAAAAAAUUUCCUAAUUUAAAUAUACCGAUAAUUUUAAAUUUGAAUAAACUACCUUAGGGAUAACAGCAUAAUUUUAAAAAUAAGUUUGUGACCUCGAUGUUGGACUAGGAAACUUAAAGGCUAGCCGUCUUUAAGGAAAGUUCUGUUCGAACUAUUAUUCCU